GUUCUUAUAGUUGAAUAACAACGGUGGUUCUUCAAAUCAUUGGUCUCGGUUAGAGUCCGAGUGGGAAUU
RNAcentral lists this transfer RNA (69 nucleotides) under Oreonectes daqikongensis. Its description in RNAcentral is "tRNA-Glu". It matches the Rfam family "tRNA". From Rfam's summary of the family: Transfer RNA (tRNA) molecules are approximately 80 nucleotides in length. Their secondary structure includes four short double-helical elements and three loops (D, anti-codon, and T loops). Lineage: Eukaryota; Metazoa; Chordata; Actinopteri; Cypriniformes; Nemacheilidae. The record is from RNAcentral.